AGAGUUUGAUCCUGGCUCAGAACGAACGCUGGCGGCAGGCCUAACACAUGCAAGUCGAACGCUCCGCAAGGGGAGUGGCAGACGGGUGAGUAACACGUGGGAACAUACCCUCCGGUUCGGAAUAACUCAGGGAAACUUGUGCUAAUACCGGAUACGUCGGCGACGAGAAAGAUUUUUCGCCGGAGGAUUGGCCCGCGUCUGAUUAGCUAGUUGGUGAGGUAAUGGCUCACCAAGGCGACGAUCAGUAGCUGGUCUGAGAGGAUGAUCAGCCACAUUGGGACUGAGACACGGCCCAAACUCCUACGGGAGGCAGCAGUGGGGAAUAUUGGACAAUGGGCGCAAGCCUGAUCCAGCCAUGCCGCGUGAGUGAUGAAGGCCCUAGGGUUGUAAA
Molecule: ribosomal RNA, 391 nt
Filed under: uncultured bacterium
Lineage: Bacteria
Description: bacterial SSU rRNA
Rfam family: Bacterial small subunit ribosomal RNA
Source: RNAcentral